Non-coding RNA from Cinara cedri, 509 nucleotides. Lineage: Eukaryota; Metazoa; Arthropoda; Insecta; Hemiptera; Aphididae. The record is from the annotation of a GenBank genome assembly.
CGUACGCCGUUCCGCGUUUUGCUUAGUUAGGCACAAUACAGGAGCGCGGAAUACGAGCAUAUACCUACGCGUGUAUAAUAAAUUAUUCGAUUCGGAACCGUAAGUCGAAUCCCAACAACAACUUGGUCUUAAUAAUGUCGUCGCGUGUGUAACUCGUAUAAGCGUAGCAAUGUACCGUUAUUAUAUACGUUUAACUCUAAAUAUCAAUUACCACGCGGCACCCGCCUAUACUCGUGCACCGUUUCACCGGACGGUUGCCGUGGACAUUCUAGGAGUUCGGGGUUACUCGGGCCAAGCGCGUUUGUGUCAUUAUAUUAUUGUUGUUACUCGGAACGAAUUAAUUCGAUCGUUGAUGAACCGCGUUCAAUUGAGUUGAGCGCGGAACGCAGGUCUUGAGUCGUUUCGGCCGGUGAAAUAAAACCGAAAGACCUUUAUUUGUAUCGGUCCGAAAGGCCGGCCAGUGUGGCGAGUAACGCCGACCGACUGGUCCGACCAAGUGGAUAGGACUG